UCAAGAUGAGCGCUUUAGAUGACGAGUCCGAGCUGGUCGGGUGUUGUGUUAUACAGCAUCCAUACCACAACGACGAUAAACAUCAAACUUUAUACCAUUCAUGCAUUUCUGAUU
Moniliophthora roreri MCA 2997 is the source of this 114-nucleotide small nucleolar RNA. Lineage: Eukaryota; Fungi; Basidiomycota; Agaricomycetes; Agaricales; Marasmiaceae. The record is from Rfam.